UCGAAAUCGCGCAAAGGAACCGAGAAGCUCGAGGUGGCUUGAUCUAAGGGAUAAGAACGUGGUGGCAACUGUCUAACCAGCUUAGUGUCAAGAGAAGCUCGAGGUGUCGCCGUGCAUGGAAGCUGCACAUGCAGCUUGACAUGUAGAAGCACGAGGUGGAUCGGCCAAACACGAGAUGUCGCAACGCAUGCAACCGAAGCAUGCUGAUCGACAUGUGUGAAGAUGUGUGGCGCCUUGCAUGAGCUCCAGUCAUGCAGCCUGACAUCUGGGAGGAGUGGUGGCGUCCUGCAUGUGUCCUGGACAUGCAGCCAGCCAUGUGGAGCACGAGGUGCCGCCGCACAUGCGU
RNAcentral lists this long non-coding RNA (346 nucleotides) under Brassica rapa (field mustard). RNAcentral's name for it is "long non-coding RNA (BRAP_LNC008014)". Lineage: Eukaryota; Viridiplantae; Streptophyta; Magnoliopsida; Brassicales; Brassicaceae. The record is from RNAcentral.